ACGAACGCUGGCGGCGUGCUUAACACAUGCAAGUCGAACGCUGAAGCCUGGAGCUUGCUCUGGGUGGAUGAGUGGCGAACGGGUGAGUAACACGUGAGUAACCUGCCCCUGACUCUGGGAUAAGCGCUGGAAACGGCGUCUAAUACUGGAUACGACCCAUAGAGGCAUCUCUUGUGGGUGGAAAGAUUUUUCGGUUGGGGAUGGACUCGCGGCCUAUCAGCUUGUUGGUGAGGUAAUGGCUCACCAAGGCGACGACGGGUAGCCGGCCUGAGAGGGUGACCGGCCACACUGGGACUGAGACACGGCCCAGACUCCUACGGGAGGCAGCAGUGGGGAAUAUUGCACAAUGGGCGCAAGCCUGAUGCAGCAACGCCGCGUGAGGGAUGACGGCCUUCGGGUUGUAAACCUCUUUUAGUAGGGAAGAAGCGAAAGUGACGGUACCUGCAGAAAAAGCACCGGCUAACUACGUGCCAGCAGCCGCGGUAAUACGUAGGGUGCAAGCGUUGUCCGGAAUUAUUGGGCGUAAAGAGCUCGUAGGCGGCUUGUCGCGUCUGCUGUGAAAUCCCGGGGCUCAACUCCGGGCCUGCAGUGGGUACGGGCAGGCUAGAGUGCGGUAGGGGAGAUUGGAAUUCCUGGUGUAGCGGUGGAAUGCGCAGAUAUCAGGAGGAACACCGAUGGCGAAGGCAGAUCUCUGGGCCGCUACUGACGCUGAGGAGCGAAAGCAUGGGGAGCGAACAGGAUUAGAUACCCUGGUAGUCCAUGCCGUAAACGUUGGGAACUAGAUGUAGGGCCUGUUCCACGGGUUCUGUGUCGUAGCUAACGCAUUAAGUUCCCCGCCUGGGGAGUACGGCCGCAAGGCUAAAACUCAAAGGAAUUGACGGGGGCCCGCACAAGCGGCGGAGCAUGCGGAUUAAUUCGAUGCAACGCGAAGAACCUUACCAAGGCUUGACAUAUUCGAGAACGCCCCAGAGAUGGGGAACUCUUUGGACACUCGUUUACAGGUGGUGCAUGGUUGUCGUCAGCUCGUGUCGUGAGAUGUUCGGUUAAGUCCGGCAACGAGCGCAACCCUCGUCCUAUGUUGCCAGCGGUUCGGCCGGGAACUCAUGGGAUACUGCCGUGGUCAACACGGAGGAAGGUGGGGAUGACGUCAAAUCAUCAUGCCCCUUAUGUCUUGGGCUUCACGCAUGCUACAAUGGCCGGUACAAUGGGUUGCGAUACCGUGAGGUGGAGCGAAUCCCAAAAAGCCGGUCUCAGUUCGGAUUGGGGUCUGCAACUCGACCCCAUGAAGUCGGAGUCGCUAGUAAUCGCAGAUCAGCAACGCUGCGGUGAAUACGUUCCCGGGCCUUGUACACACCGCCC
This 1359-nucleotide ribosomal RNA is filed under the name uncultured bacterium. Its description in RNAcentral is "bacterial SSU rRNA". It matches the Rfam family "Bacterial small subunit ribosomal RNA", at positions 29 to 1395 of the family's 1533-position model. The record is from RNAcentral.